CCUACGGGGGGCAGCAGUGAGGAAUAUUGGGCAAUGGGCGAGAGCCUGAACCAGCCAAGUCGCGUGAAGGAUGACGGCCCUACGGGUUGUAAACUUCUUUUGUCAGGGAGCAAUUGGGUCCACGCGUGGGCUUAGCGAGAGUACCUGAAGAAAAAGCAUCGGCUAACUCCGUGCCAGCAGCCGCGGUAAUACGGAGGGUGCGAGCGUUAUGCGGAUUUAUUGGGUUUAAAGGGUGCGCAGGCGGAAUAUCAAGUCAGCGGUAAAAAUUCGGGGCUCAACCCCGUCGUGCCGUUGAAACUGAUGUUCUUGAGUGGGCGAGAAGUGUGCGGAAUGCGUGGUGUAGCGGUGAAAUGCGUAGAUAUCACGCAGAACUCCGAUUGCGAAGGCAGCACACCGGCGCCCAACUGACGCUGAAGCACGAAAGCGUGGGUAGCGAACAGGAUUAGAUACCCCAGUAGUC
RNAcentral lists this ribosomal RNA (460 nucleotides) under uncultured bacterium. Its description in RNAcentral is "partial 16S ribosomal RNA". It matches the Rfam family "Bacterial small subunit ribosomal RNA", at positions 338 to 795 of the family's 1533-position model. The record is from RNAcentral.